UAUUGCUACCACCCUGAAAGUACCCCAUCUCAUCUGAUCUCAGAAACUACACAGGGUUGGACCCUGGCUGCUAUAC
This 76-nucleotide ribosomal RNA is filed under the name Ochotona princeps (American pika). The record is from RNAcentral. Lineage: Eukaryota; Metazoa; Chordata; Mammalia; Lagomorpha; Ochotonidae.